Molecule: long non-coding RNA, 587 nt
Filed under: Homo sapiens (human)
Lineage: Eukaryota; Metazoa; Chordata; Mammalia; Primates; Hominidae
Description: novel transcript
Source: RNAcentral
GCCCGGAAAGGGUGGAGCACAACGUCGAAAGCAGCCGUUGGGAGCCCAGGAGGCGGGGCGCCUGUGGGAGCCGUGGAGGGAACUUUCCCAGUCCCCGAGGCGGAUCCGGUGUUGCAUCCUUGGAGCGAGCUGAGAGCUCGAGAACCUGCUAAGGCCAUCAAACCUAUUGAUCGGAAGUCAGUCCAUCAGAUUUGCUCUGGGCCGGUGGUACCGAGUCUAAGCACUGCGGUGAAGGAGUUAGUAGAAAACAGUCUGGAUGCUGGUGCCACUAAUAUUGAUCUAAAGCUUAAGGACUAUGGAGUGGAUCUCAUUGAAGUUUCAGGCAAUGGAUGUGGGGUAGAAGAAGAAAACUUCGAAGGCUUAACUCUGAAACAUCACACAUCUAAGAUUCAAGAGUUUGCCGACCUACCUCAGGUUGAAACUUUUGGCUUUCGGGGGGAAGCUCUGAGCUCACUUUGUGCACUGAGAAACGUGCCUGCUUCCCCUUCGCCUUCUGCCGUGAUUGUCAGUUUCCUGAGGCCUCCCCAGCCAUGCUUCCUGUACAGCCUGCAGAACUGUGAGUCAAUUAAACCUGUUUUCUUCAUAAA